Molecule: long non-coding RNA, 1257 nt
Organism: Salvelinus fontinalis (brook trout)
Lineage: Eukaryota; Metazoa; Chordata; Actinopteri; Salmoniformes; Salmonidae
Exons: 2
Source: RefSeq, a predicted model, not a curated record
GCUGGACUUUCUUAGGCGCCCUGAAGCCUUCGUCACAACAAUUGAACCGCUCUCCUUUAAGUUCUUGAUGAUCCGAUAAAUGGUUGAUUUAGGUGCAAUCUUACUGUCAGCAAUAUCCUUGCCUGUGAAGCCCUUUUUGUGCAAAGCAAUGAUGACGGCACGUGUUUCCUUGCAGGUAACCAUUGUUGAGAGGAAGAACAAUGAUUCCAAGCACCACCCUCCUUUUGAAGCUUCCAGUCUGUUAUUCGAACUCAAUCAGCAUGACCGAGUGAUCUCCAGCCUUGUCCUCGUCAACACUCACACCUGUGUUAACGAGAGAAUCACUGACAUGAUGUCAGCUGGUCCUUUUGUGGCAGGGCUGAAAUGCAGUGGAAAUGUUUUUUGGGGAUUCAGUUAAUUUGCAUGGCAAAGAGGGACUUUGCAAUUAAUUGCAAUUCAUCUGAUCACUCUUCAUAACAUUCUGGAGUAUAUGCCAAUUGCCAUCAUACAAACUGAGGCAGCAGACUUUGUGAAAAUUUAUAUUUGUGUCAUUCUCAACUUUUGGCCACAACUGUAUUAUACAAGUACUUCAGGACUAUCAGUCCCUAUUGUAUUAUACUUGCACUUCAGUACUGUCAGGGUGGUACUGAGAGUGCACUGUGUGUGAAGGUGCUCACUCUUGUGUGAAGGAGGUUUUUGUACAGAGACUUCACCAGAAUGAAUCACUGUGGUACACUUUUGGAAGCGGCACAAAACUGGUGUUGAAAACUGGUCCCUCUGUCAGGCCCACAGUGUCUCUGCUCCCCCCGUCCUCUGAGCAGCUCUCCGGGGGCUCGGCCACACUGGCCUGCCUGCUGAGUGACUACUCCCCCCAGGGGGCGAUGGUGAGCUGGGAGGUAGACGGGGCGGAUGUGAAGGAGGGGGUCCUGACCACCACAGAAGAAGAGAAGGGUGGCCACUACAGUCGCAGCAGCACCCUGACCCUGAGCAAGGCACGCUGGGAAGAGGGAGAGGUCUACACCUGCAGGGUCGCCCACGACGACACCAGUGACUCGGCCGCCUUCCGGAAAAGUCACUGUAGUGUCUAGAAGCCAUUGUAGGGGGCUAGAGAGUCCCCACAUGGUGCAAGUGAAGGAAACAUGAGUGUUUUAGAGCUGAAGGUUACAGUAUAAUAGUGAAUAAUAUCAGUAGUGCUGUGUGAUAAACUAUUUUGAGAUUUAGUUGUACAUGUCGUCUUGCCUCUGAGUUCAAAUAAAGCUUGUUUUGAUUCAGAAAUAA